RNAcentral lists this long non-coding RNA (417 nucleotides) under Ananas comosus (pineapple). Its description in RNAcentral is "long non-coding RNA (ACOM_LNC003921)". Lineage: Eukaryota; Viridiplantae; Streptophyta; Magnoliopsida; Poales; Bromeliaceae. The record is from RNAcentral.
UAGCUCUCCAACCUCACCUACAUGAUUCUCUCAAAUACAUAGGUGUGCUAAUGCAAAAAGGAAAGCUACUAUACUACCACGGUCUCACUGAUCGGGCGCGAUGCCCUUGCCGCGGUCCUCUCUCGGUAACCCUGUACCUACCACUGGAAAUAGAGUGGGGUGAGAACUAUCUUCCAUAGUUCCCAGUGGGCUCGGCCGCCGACUCUGCCGAUCUCCCCACUAGGUCCAAGUGGGCACAAGUAACAACAAAUAGAUAGAUAGAUAGAUAUGUAUCUGAAACUGUAAAUGCGAUAGUAGGAAAAACUAUGCUACUAUGCCCAUAAUCAUGAAUAUGAAUGCAUGCAUCAUAUAAUAAAGGUUCGCUACCAUGCUAACAAAUUCGAUCCAUGUUCGAAUAGCUAUGUUCAAUGACAUUUA